UAAACUGUUAUAAUUAUCAUAACAUAGUCGACUGUAUUAGUAGCAUAUUCGACUAAGAGAGCGUCUGUUUGACAGAAAUCUAUAAAUAGAUUGAACCUGAUGUUACUCGGGGACUUUUGAUGAUCUAACAUUUUCAUAUUCCGUUUCACAUUGAUUUCUCUAAGAUUAUAGAGCUCCAAUAACUCAUCAAGAAGACGGUGGUGAUCUUGCUUGAAGGAGAUUCAAAGGGAGACUGAUUGUGCGCUCACUGCUUGAUCACAUAUCCGCACAUUGAGGUGUUUCUGGUUUGAUCAAGAUUCUUGUUGGCAUCCGUGGUGAUUGCUAUUGGUACCUAUUGUGAAUACAGGGGAUAGACUCAUGGAGUCUGGUUCACUUUGAGAAUUGUUCAAAGUGGUUUGACAGAUUGCAUGAGAGGGGACAUCUUGUUGCAAGUCUUGUUGUGUGGUUUGCCUAUAUUUUGGUUAGAAGGUUAGAGAGGUGUUUUAUAUUUUUGAAGUGGAUGUCUUAUAUAAAAGCCUUGUUGUAAAAACCUUAACCAUUAUAGUGCAUUUGCUUCCUGGUAUUAGAAGGACAUUGGAUAUAGGCAUUGAGGUCGAACCAGUAUAAAAACCAGUGUUUGAUUU
This 623-nucleotide long non-coding RNA is filed under the name Vigna radiata. RNAcentral's name for it is "long non-coding RNA (VRAD_LNC006906)". The record is from RNAcentral. Lineage: Eukaryota; Viridiplantae; Streptophyta; Magnoliopsida; Fabales; Fabaceae.